This is a long non-coding RNA of Tympanuchus pallidicinctus (lesser prairie-chicken), 3619 nucleotides long. RefSeq lists it as uncharacterized. The record is from RefSeq and is a predicted model, not a curated record. NCBI's taxonomy places the organism in Eukaryota, Metazoa, Chordata, Aves, Galliformes, Phasianidae. The transcript is spliced from 2 exons.
UUUUGCAGGCACAAACUGGGAUGGUUUGAGGAAGAGGAUGAGCAAGUUCCUUCAGCCUCAUCAUGGCAGCACAAGCAUGUUGACAAGCUAUGUGUGUUUCACCUGCUAUUAACUUGCUGCUUGAUGACAAGCAACUGUUUCUUCCAGAGCAAACUAACACUGUCCAGGUUGAAAUUAGCCUGGUUGUGGCCCAUGUCCAAAGCAAUGUUUGUGUUUGUAUGUCUCCGAGUUUGGGGCAGCUGUUGCAAUGUGGCACUGUGGAUUGGGUCUGCAAAGGGAGGCUGCAUGAGGGAAGAGCAGGCACGAAAUACCUGUUUUUGCUUUAUAAAAACUUCCCUGUGGUCUCUACUUUGUCUGCAAGACCCACCUAGCACCUCCCAGUGAGGUCUACUGGGAAUCCCCUCAUGGCAGGGGGGGAGAGUUGGUUUGAGUGGGGGGGGAAAAGUCCCUGAUCAUCACAGGGGAGUUGGACUAAAUGACCCUUAAGGGCUCCUUCCAGCUCAAAUGGUUCUAUGGCUCUUUGAAAUGAGAGGUGCCCAUGGCUCUGUGCCCUUAGGGUGCAGCAGAAAAGAGAAGUGAAGCCGCGUGAUGCAUCCCAGCACUUUUGCUACUGGAGGAGGAUAUGCAGACGUUGCUGCUGUGCAGAGUGGUCUGGAGGUUCCACAGCUCCGUGUGUUUCUCGCCGUGUUUCCAUCCUGUCGAACACUCAGAGCCUGCCCUGCGCGCAUUUCGGAAGCGAAGGACUUUCCUAAUUACAGUGCGAACAAUCCGAGGUGGGCUCCUGUCUGUCUAACUGUCAGGGAGAAUAAGUCAGCAGUGAGUCAGAAGCAGAGAUGUGGAAAUGAUGCGGGAGAAAGGGAAUAGUCUGUGCUGGGCUUAAUCACAGGGGCCAGGUGCUUUACAUUUCUUCCAACAAAACUCUGUUUGCUGCGGGCGCCUGAGGCUAGCUGAGGCGGGCAGCAUAGCCGAGGCUCAUCAGGCUCACUUGCCUCCUGGGCACUGUCUUUCACUUGGUUGGGCAUUGGCAUCUCUGCACCCAUUGCAUCACACCCGCUCCUUGUUCUGUGUGUGCUCCCGGAGCGGCCGAGGUGCACCAUGCAGCCUUCCCUUGGAAGCUAUUUGCUUUGUCAUCAUUAUUAUUAUUUUACUAUUCUUUAUUGCUAUCAGCAGUAAUGCAAGCCCUUUUGCCUAUGGAAAGGAUUUUUUUUCCUGUUGUUUCUUCUGGAGGGAUCCAGGAAUUCUCCACUUACCUAUGUCGUAUUUAUUACGCUUGGUUAAAGAUCAUUAAAGCCUUUGUUAGCAGAGCUGACUGACAAGAAGAGUGGAUUAAUAUUAGAACACCCUGUCAAAAGUGGUGAAAAGGCUGGAUUGAUUUUAUGGGAAGUUUAGUCAGAGUUGUGUGUAAAGCCCUUGGGGGGUUACACUGCAGUGAAUCAAUCUCCUAUAUUAGCAACUCCCUCUGGGAAUAGUCGACUUCAGUGUUUAUUACAGCCGAGGCUGCAUAUAAUAGGGAUGGCAGCCACUCGCCUCCCUCUCUUCUUUCUCAUAAUUUGCUGCUUGCAAUUGCAGCCACACAGAGGAGCACCUGAGAUAAACAAAGGUGCUGGGCUCUGUGUAGCAGCAGAGCAGUGGGGGGGAUGAGAUGAGUGUCUGCCACCAGCCCUGUCCUGCUGCACCCACCCUGAGCUCUGCCUGAGGACCUGCUGAGAGCUCCUUUGUGGCGGCAGUUUUCAUCCCAGUGCCUGGGUCGCAAGAAGAAUGCACACAGGACAAUACCAGCGAGAGCUCCUGCAAACAUCAAUUAACAGAAUCCCACGCCGUGUGGGUAAGGAGGGUUUUGGCAACCCUGGAACAGAGACACGUGGUUGAAAGAGAUGUGACAAGGUAUCUGUGCACUUUGGAUCUAAUUGCAUUCAAUCACCUCUGGAUCUAAAGCAUCACUGGUGCAGCAGGGAUGCUGUGGGCCAGGAGGGACUGUGCACCCCAGUGCACGGCUCAUAGCACUGCAGUGAUGGCAUUCCCACAGCUGAUGGCUCCCGACCUUUGCCACAGCAGCUGCUUGAUGGAAACCAUCAGCACUUUUUGGAAAGACAGUAGAGCAGUAGAGGCAGGUCCUGCAGUCUGCUGGUGGUUCCUCCAGCUGUGCCUGCAUCCUUUUGUGCCGUACGCAACAAGCCAGAUAACUUUCAUUCCUCCUCUUCCACUGUCACUUCACUUUUUAUCUGCUCAACAGCAAUUCCUUUCUGCUCCCCCCCAUCCUCUUCUCUCACUAAUGCUCUUCACUUUCAAAUGCUAAUAAUCUGCAGCACUAAAAGGCUUAGAAGUGGUUCUAGAUUGUUUGAUCUUUGGCCUGUGAUCUACUUUCAUCUUCCAGCUUUCAAAUGUUACUUUGGAUUUACUUUAACCUAUUAACACGCUUGGUAUUCACAGGCAUGCACUUUUGGUGUGUUUUGCAUCAGAUCCACCCAAAUUCAAACGAGCAGGGGAAGUUACUCUUCUGGACACCAACUUUUCACAAUCUCUAUUUGCUCACAGGCACAGCGGGGGUUUUCCUCUCCUGUUUCCAUGUUCCCUGGGGAUGCUGAGGAUGAGGAUGCGAUGUUCCCCAUUGUGAGGGGACAGCAGUGGCCUUGGACCUGCAGCCACCAGCCCAGCACCCAGCAGGGGAUGUGGUGUAGGGGAUCGCCCUCCUCCUCUUCUUCCUUUACAGUGGCACCUCUGGAGAGAACGGCUUUGAAAGCGCUGCUUAUUUUCAGCAGCUCCUCUGGACUGUCUGGUCCUCAGUCAGUGUUGGAUGUCUGAACAGAGACAUCAGAGCCUUCCUGAAGCUGUUAUAACUUAAUCUGGCAGGCCAGCCUGCUCUGGCACCUCUUGCCAAGAGAGGAAGCCAGAGCACUAGAUGAUUUUCAGACAUUAGUGACUGCCAUAAAUCAGAAAGCAGAAGUUAUCGAGUGCUCUGCUAAUGGACAUUUCCUUCCAGAGUAUCCCCUCUCGGGCUUUGCAGGGGCACAGAGGCUGCUCCCAGUGGGGGAAGCCAAGGGAGCUGUGCCAAGGCUGGGAAAUGUGCUGAGGAAAGAGGCUGCAAGGUGAGAACCAGGCUCCAGCUCCAGCCUGACUGCUGCACUGCUGUGGCUGCUGGUGCUGCUGCUCUCUGUGGGGGCCCCCAGCCCCAUAAGCACCAGCCGUGCUUUGAGAGCUGUGCAAAUCCCAAGCCAUCAAAGGGACGGCAUCAUUGGAGGCCAACUUGCCUCAAAUGACUUAAAGUGCAGAAGGGAGAUUUCAGCCAAGCUGAGCGCUGGGCAGGUUUAAACUGUGUAGAAGUAGUCGAUGUGAGAUGGCAGUGCUCUGUGCUGUGCUUCCUGUCUCCUUAGGGCUGACAGGGGAAGGGGCAGAGCCUUGAGCCCUUUGCCUUCAAUGCUGAUUCCCAAUCAAAGCGAUGCAGUCCUCAAGGAGCAGCGAACUGUUUAAUAUUUAAACCCAAACAGCCCAGGCAAAGCUGCUUUUCUUUUUUAUUUAUUCUUUUAAUUAAAUGCCAAUUAGAGAGGGGGGGAAAAGGCAUUAAACACUUAAAUACACACUACACCCAGGUUGCUCAAAAUUGUUACGACCUAAUUAUCUA